GUGCCAGCCGCCGCGGUAAGACGAACCAUGCAAACGUUAUUCGGAUUCACUGGGCUUAAAGCGUGCGUAGGCGGUCUUGUUAGUCAGGUGUGAAAGCCCUCAGCCUAACUGAGGAAUUGCGCUUGAUACUGCAUGACUAGAGAAUGAUAGAGGUGGGUGGAACUGAUGGUGGAGCGGUGAAAUGCGUUGAUAUCAUCAGGAACACCAGUGGCGAAGGCGACCCACUGGGUCAUUUCUGACGCUGAGGUACGAAAGCUAGGGUAGCGAACGGGAUUAGAUACCCCGGUAGUCC
RNAcentral lists this ribosomal RNA (292 nucleotides) under uncultured bacterium. RNAcentral describes it as "partial 16S ribosomal RNA". It matches the Rfam family "Bacterial small subunit ribosomal RNA", at positions 505 to 796 of the family's 1533-position model. The record is from RNAcentral.